GUUUCCUACGGGAGGCAGCAGUGGGGGAUAUUGCACAAUGGGGGAAACCCUGAUGCAGCGACGCCGCGUGUGGGAAGACGGUCCUCUGGAUUGUAAACCACUGUCCCCAGGGACGAAGAUGACGGUACCUGGGGAGGAAGCUCCGGCUAACUACGUGCCAGCAGCCGCGGUAAUACGUAGGGGGCAAGCGUUAUCCGGAUUUACUGGGUGUAAAGGGAGCGUAGACGGCAAUACAAGUCGGAAGUGAAAUACCCGGGCUCAACCUGGGAACUGCUUUGGAAACUGUAUGGCUAGAGUGCUGGAGG
RNAcentral lists this ribosomal RNA (305 nucleotides) under uncultured bacterium. RNAcentral's name for it is "bacterial SSU rRNA". It matches the Rfam family "Bacterial small subunit ribosomal RNA", at positions 334 to 655 of the family's 1533-position model. The record is from RNAcentral.